CGAUUCUCUCUCUCUCUCUCUCUCUCUCUCGUUUCUCUCUCUUCACGCAAAACGGCCAGCCACUUUGGCCGGCGAUUUCUCCCAACUCCGGCCACCGUUUCAGGCGGGACCGGUCCCAAAAUCUUCCUCUCAACGUCCUCUUUCUAGCCUAGUUAUUUUCGCAGCUCGAAAACUUAAGGAUUGGCGGUUGGAACGACGGGAAGUUUCGGCAGCAGCUGCCACCGUCGCCGUCGACGUUUCAGGCCACCUCGCGCUGGUUCAAAAGUGGGUUCUGAUUCUGAACCAAAGCAAAGUCAUUGCAGCAUCGCACCGCAGAGAUUUUACAAGUACAAAUAUGGAGCCCGAGGUGGUUCAUGCAGAGCUGGUGUUGCCAACCCACUUGAGCUUCAAGCGGAUUCAAAUGUACGAGAAGUACCCAAAAGGCCAAUCAAGAGGGAGACACUGGAAACACCUCAAGCAGAUCAUUCAGGCCGAGAAUUACCAGAAUUACCCACCCAAUGAACCCAAUUAUGUUAAUAUAGAGUCGCCGCCCUCUAUGCAUCCAUGCAAGAGAAUUUGUGAUAUAACAGGAUACGAGGCACCUUACUAUGACCCAAGGACUGGCCUCCGCUAUGCCAAUGCUGAUAUCUUCAAGCUCAUAAGAUCUCUCCCCAAUGAAUAUGUCCAAAGAUAUCUGGCUCUCAGAAAUGCUGCUGUGGUUUUGAAGUAACAUUUGGUACUUUUCAGCUUCCCAAGGCAGGAUUCACUUUUUCUCGGCUUCAAUUAUCCUUGAAACUGGAAAUAUUGUAACUGUGGAUCAGUUGAAAAGGGAGAUUUUAGAGUAAUCAAUUUGGGCUGUUUGUUAUUAGGACUCUUACUAUUCACCAAUUUGAUGCUAAAGGAGGAACAGAAAGCAACAGCUUGUUUUGAAAUGACAGAAUCACACAAAUACAUCAUUGAUCAAUGUAAGCCAAUGCUGUGUCUACCCUAAUGAAGGACAACAACAUUUAGGUCCGUAGGGAUUAUGACCUUGUCCUUACAACUUAUGUAACCAAAUAAAAUGAAACUAAUGAAAUUUACGGAAUUCAUAAAACUCGGAAGCAUAUUGAUGCAACCCAAAAAUAUUAAGGAAACUAUUGUUCAAGUUAUUCCCAUGCAACAAUAGCAAUACCGCAUCAGUAAACAUGAAUAGGAGGAGCCUCAUGAGAUUCGUCAUAUUUAUUCAAAGUGGCAGGUCCCGAUCAGCUCAGGGUUAGGCUUCCCACCCUCGGAGGACAGUUGCCCUUGCAACGCGGUUAACCCCAAGCGUGAAGGCUCCCAUCCGGAGGUCACAGUUGUGGGUUUUGCACAUCUCCUUCACAUCUUUGAAGCCCUUGGUCAUGUAAGUCCUCAGCUCAUUGUUCACCUUUUCUUCAUCCCACAAGAAACCUUGGAUGUUCUGCACCGCAAAACCCACUAAAUUUAGUAAAACUAUAUUUGCUAAAGUUAGAAUGUUGUUCAGAGUUGAAUAAGAAGUGAUGUGAAGAUAUGUAUGAUACCUGUACCCACUCAAAGUAACUAACAGUAACUCCUCCAGAGUUUGCAUAUAUAUCGGGAAGAAUUACAACACCUUUCUUUGAUAA
RNA transcript from Prunus dulcis (almond), 1601 nucleotides. It is a transcript of the gene named chromatin-remodeling complex subunit ies6, with no coding region annotated. The transcript has 5 exons. The record is from RefSeq and is a predicted model, not a curated record. NCBI's taxonomy places the organism in Eukaryota, Viridiplantae, Streptophyta, Magnoliopsida, Rosales, Rosaceae.